ACGAACGCUGGCGGCAUGCCUAACACAUGCAAGUCGAACGAGACCUUCGGGUCUAGUGGCGCACGGGUGCGUAACGCGUGGGAAUCUGCCCUUUGCUACGGAAUAACUCGGGGAACGUACGUGCUAAUACCGUACUGAUGUCGCAAGACCAAAGAUUUAUUCGGCAAGGGAUGAGCCCGCGUAGGAUUAGCUAGUUGGUGAGGUAAAGGCUCACCAAGGCGACGAUCCUUAGCGGUU
RNAcentral lists this ribosomal RNA (237 nucleotides) under uncultured bacterium. RNAcentral's name for it is "partial 16S ribosomal RNA". It matches the Rfam family "Bacterial small subunit ribosomal RNA", at positions 29 to 291 of the family's 1533-position model. The record is from RNAcentral.